GGUGUUAGUUCAUUAGAAAAUAAUUUUUAGCUUGUUUGGCUUUUGUUGGUUUAAUUAAUAUAUGUAAAUUUAUGUCAGAUUUCUCUACUAUGUGGAAGUGAAUUCCUUAAGUUCCACGAGUUUGUGAUUGUAUACAAACAAUUGAGGCGGUAGUACACAUACGACAUUGUCUUCGCUUGUUGUAUAUACUCUAACCAUUCUCUGUAGUUUUAGCUUAUUUUUUGUGGUUGGUAUAAUGAUUGUGAAUUUUAUUGGAUUUCUAAUUGUGAUAUAAUUGAUUGAAAUUGCAAUAAUAUUUGCAUCAUAGUGCAUGACCCAAGGUUUAGUGACUUGUUAUUUUAGGAACCGGGCAAUGGAUUAUGCUAUAAUACCAUUAAUUAGAAUGUGUUGGGUCUAUUGGAUUUGCAGUACUUAAUUGACUGUCUAUGAUUGUUAAUUGUAUUUAGGCCCUUGUAAGUUGCAACUAUGUUUCCAUUCAUGAAUCCUGAUUGUAUCCUCGGAUUUGAGGUGAGUUGAAUUUAGCUAUUUGCUGGGCAUUAGGAUCCUCUUUCACCUGUUGUUUUAUGUAUAAAUAAAUAUUGGAUUCUUAUAAUUAAUAACUUGUCUUUACAGGGAUGAUGAUAUGCUUAAGAAGCUUGGAGACCUUGUGAAUGAGAGUCAUUAUAGCCGCAGUGUUCUCUAUGAACGCAGGAUUUUUCAAGAUCUACACCGUAUAAAGAGGAGUAGAUAAACGAGGUUCAAGAUAUUUGGGCAGACUAUUUUAUAUGCUAUGUUGAACUUUAGAUCUACACUUAGCAAACUCCAUUUACUUAUUAGACUCUUGUUUUAUUUAUUAGGCUUGACAUGAAUGUAUUUGGUUUACCAACAAUUUGGGUUGGUAUUGGUGAUUGUAUUGGAUGAUGACCAUAAUGUCAAUGAUAUUGAGUUGUAAAUUUAUUGGACAGGUUUAUAAUAUGCCGCCGUCAUUCCCAAUUUUAUGGGUAGGCCAAAAUACAAAGGAGACUCUGCCGAAA
Molecule: long non-coding RNA, 1013 nt
Organism: Chenopodium quinoa (quinoa)
Lineage: Eukaryota; Viridiplantae; Streptophyta; Magnoliopsida; Caryophyllales; Amaranthaceae
Exons: 2
Source: RefSeq, a predicted model, not a curated record